AUUCUUUAAUAGCAAGAAAAGAAAUAAAUAGUGCAAUAUGUAAUAGUUCUUAGAGAUAAAUGGGUUCAUACUUCCCGGGUACCCGUAGGUACUCGGUUAAUUACGCCAUCUUUAUUACAUUCUGGCUACCUCUGAUUAAGCCGGUCAUGAUUAAAAUAUCCCUCCUCCAAUUAAGUAAACUAUCAGAUUGUUGAUAGAG
RNAcentral lists this long non-coding RNA (199 nucleotides) under Ananas comosus (pineapple). RNAcentral describes it as "long non-coding RNA (ACOM_LNC037292)". Lineage: Eukaryota; Viridiplantae; Streptophyta; Magnoliopsida; Poales; Bromeliaceae. The record is from RNAcentral.